This 54-nucleotide transfer RNA is filed under the name Macrocheles nataliae. RNAcentral's name for it is "tRNA-Ser". The record is from RNAcentral. Lineage: Eukaryota; Metazoa; Arthropoda; Arachnida; Mesostigmata; Macrochelidae.
AAGAUUAUAAACAAGAGCUGCUAACUCUAAGUUAAUGAUAUUCAUUUAAUCUUU